Molecule: ribosomal RNA, 459 nt
Filed under: uncultured bacterium
Lineage: Bacteria
Description: partial 16S ribosomal RNA
Rfam family: Bacterial small subunit ribosomal RNA
Source: RNAcentral
CCUACGUGAGGCAGCAGUGAGGAAUAUUGGUCAAUGGCCGAGAGGCUGAACCAGCCAAGUCGCGGGAGGGAAGACGGCCCUACGGGUUGUCAACCUCUUUUGUCGGGGAGCAAAGCGAGUCACGUGUGACUCAUUGAGAGUACCCGAAGAAAAAGCAUCGGCUAACUCCGUGCCAGCAGCCGCGGUAAUACGGAGGAUGCGAGCGUUAUCCGGAUUGAUUGGGUUUAAAGGGUGCGCAGGCGGAGGUGCAAGUCAGCGGUCAAAUUGCGGGGCUCAACCCCGUACUGCCGUUGAAACUGCAUCCCUUGAGUGCGCGAGAAGUAUGCGGAAUGCGUGGUGUAGCGGUGAAAUGCAUAGAUAUCACGCAGAACUCCGAUUGCGAAGGCAGCAUACCGGCGCGCAACUGACGCUCAUGCACGAAAGCGUGGGUAUCGAACAGGAUUAGAUACCCCAGUAGUC